UCACAUAAGUAUAUCUUUCUUGACAGAGGAUGAAAACAAUCAGGCUAGAGAUCAAAUUAAAAAGCAUGGAAAGCUACAUACAGAGAAAACAUUUUUCAUUUAGCCAGUUCACAAACAAAACUUCUUUUUGCAGGAACGGUACCAGGGCAAGAGAAAGAGAAGUUAUAUCAUGCAACAAGUUUAUGAAGCUGAAAAAACACCAAUUCCAUCAUUGGUAGCAUCCUGGUGAAAUACUUAUCACAUAAAACACAAAAAGGUUCUCCUUGCAAUCACUGUUAAUAUGCUAAGCAGCCAAAAACUAGAGCUAAAAAAACACCAAUUCCAUCAUUGGUAGCAUCCUGGUGAAAUACUUAUCACAUAAAACACAAAAAGGUUCUCCUUGCAAUCACUGUUAAUAUGCUAAGCAGCCAAAAACUAGAGCUAACAUGACGAAUAUUAGAGAUAUAAAUGCACCAAGUUAAGCAUUUCAUGAAAAGAAAACACUUAGGAAAGAAAAACUGCGAGUAAUCUCAGACUAAUAAAAAGGUCUUACUUCAAGUAAAAAGA
Molecule: long non-coding RNA, 546 nt
Filed under: Theobroma cacao (cacao)
Lineage: Eukaryota; Viridiplantae; Streptophyta; Magnoliopsida; Malvales; Malvaceae
Description: long non-coding RNA (TCAC_LNC002821)
Source: RNAcentral